RNAcentral lists this ribosomal RNA (253 nucleotides) under uncultured bacterium. RNAcentral's name for it is "partial 16S ribosomal RNA". It matches the Rfam family "Bacterial small subunit ribosomal RNA", at positions 524 to 776 of the family's 1533-position model. The record is from RNAcentral.
UACGUAGGCAGCGAGCGUUGUUCGGAGUUACUGGGCGUAAAGGGUGUGUAGGCGGUUGUUUAAGUUUGGUGUGAAAGCCCCCGGCUCAACUGGGGAGGGUCACGCGAUACUGUUCGACUCGAAGGCAGGAGAGGGAAGCAGAAUUCCCGGUGUAGUGGUGAAAUGCGUAGAUAUCGGGAGGAAUACCAGUGGCGAAGGCGGCUUCCUGGCCUGUUCUUGACGCUGAGGCGCGAAAGCUAGGGUAGCAAACGGG